This 252-nucleotide ribosomal RNA is filed under the name uncultured bacterium. Its description in RNAcentral is "partial 16S ribosomal RNA". It matches the Rfam family "Bacterial small subunit ribosomal RNA", at positions 524 to 776 of the family's 1533-position model. The record is from RNAcentral.
UACGUAGGGGGCAAGCGUUGUCCGGAUUCAUUGGGCGUAAAGAGCGUGUAGGCGCCAGGUAGGUCGGUUGUGAAAACUGGAGGCUCAACCUUCAGAGGUCGACCGAAACCAUCUGGCUAGAGUCCGGGAGAGGAGAGUGGAAUUCCUGGUGUAGCGGUGAAAUGCGCAGAUAUCAGGAAGAACACCCGUGGCGAAAGCGGCUCUCUGGAACGGUACUGACGCUGAGACGCGAAAGCGUGGGGAGCGAACAGG